This 479-nucleotide ribosomal RNA is filed under the name uncultured bacterium. RNAcentral describes it as "bacterial SSU rRNA". It matches the Rfam family "Bacterial small subunit ribosomal RNA", at positions 28 to 507 of the family's 1533-position model. The record is from RNAcentral.
GAUGAACGCUGGCGGCGUGCCUAACACAUGCAAGUCGAGCGAGAACCGCUGGAAUGACACUUCGGUAGAAUGAAAGCGGGGAAAGCGGCGGACGGGUGAGUAACGCGUAGGUAACCUGCCCCAUACACAGGGAUAGCCUAGGGAAGCCUGGAUUAAUACCUGAUGAAGCAACUGGUCGCAUGACCGGCUGCCAAAGAUUUAUCGGUAUGGGAUGGACCUGCGUCUGAUUAGUGAGUUGGUGGGGUAAUGGCCUACCAAAGCGACGAUCAGUAGCCGACCUGAGAGGGUGAUCGGCCACAUUGGAACUGAGACACGGUCCAAACUCCUGCGGGAGGCAGCAGUGGGGGAUAUUGCACAAUGGGCGGAAGCCUGAUGCAGCAACGCCGCGUGAGCGAAGAAGGUCUUCGGAUCGUAAAGCUCUGUCCUGGGGGAAGAAACAAAUGACGGUACCCCGGGAGGAAGCCCCGGCUAACUACGUG